Molecule: ribosomal RNA, 468 nt
Filed under: uncultured bacterium
Lineage: Bacteria
Description: partial 16S ribosomal RNA
Rfam family: Bacterial small subunit ribosomal RNA
Source: RNAcentral
GACGAACGCUGGCGGCGUGCUUAACACAUGCAAGUCGAACGGAAAGGCCCUGCUUUUGUGGGGUGCUCGAGUGGCGAACGGGUGAGUAACACGUGAGUAACCUGCCCUUGACUUUGGGAUAACUUCAGGAAACUGGGGCUAAUACCGGAUAGGAGCUCCUGCUGCAUGGUGGGGGUUGGAAAGUUUCGGCGGUUGGGGAUGGACUCGCGGCUUAUCAGCUUGUUGGUGGGGUAGUGGCUUACCAAGGCUUUGACGGGUAGCCGGCCUGAGAGGGUGACCGGCCACAUUGGGACUGAGAUACGGCCCAGGCUCCUACGGGAGGCAGCAGUGGGGAAUAUUGCACAAUGGGAGGAAGCCUGAUGCAGCAACGCCGCGUGCGGGAUGACGGCCUUCGGGUUGUAAACCGCUUUCGCCUGUGACGAAGCGUGAGUGACGGUAAUGGGUGAAGAAGCACCGGCUAACUACGUG